UACGGGGGGAGCAAGCGUUGUUCGGAUUUACUGGGCGUAAAGGGCGCGGUAGGCGGCGUGACAAGUCACUUGUGAAAUCUCCGGGCUUAACUCGGAAACGGUCAAGUGAUACUGUCGGACUAGAGUACAGAAGGGGCAACUGGGAAUUCUCGGUGUAGCGGUGAAAAUGCGUAGAUAUCGAGAGGAACACCUGCGGCGAAGGCGGGUUGCUGGGCUGAUACUGACGCUGAGGCGCGAAAGCCAGGGGAGGCGAA
This 254-nucleotide ribosomal RNA is filed under the name uncultured bacterium. RNAcentral describes it as "partial 16S ribosomal RNA". It matches the Rfam family "Bacterial small subunit ribosomal RNA", at positions 524 to 772 of the family's 1533-position model. The record is from RNAcentral.